CUCUUACCCACUUGAAGAUAAUAAUAGAAUGUAAUAACAUUUUAAAAUUCACAAAUUAAAUAUAAUUCCAUGCAAAAAUGCUUUUAGUGAGUGAGUUAAAGCUGUUAUAAUUUAUGUGAUUUAAUAGAAACUGGUAUAAAAGCCAGGCCCGGUCUGGUCAGGUCGGCAGGUCGGCGAUCGCCGAGGGCUCCGGCCCAAGGGGGCCCCUAGCCAAACUAAACUAAAUAAAUUUUUGAAAAUAUGUUGUUUUGACAAGUUUAUUUCAUUUAAACGUUUUAAAAAGAACAACGAAUAGACAUCAUGGGCAAGGUUCUGUAUUGACAUUUUUGUCAAAAUCUUUUAUUUGAACAAGUUAAUAAAAACAAUUGCUUCGAUGAAACGCAAUAUAAUUUUGAAAGGCUUCCACAAUAACAUGAUUCAUAACGUUAUGGUAGACUCUACCCAAGAUAUCGGAAGCACUUAUGUACCAAUUGGCUUUUUUUGUACGAUAUGUCAUUCGAUGAAAAGUUUCUGAAAGGCUUCUAGAAAUUACUGUAGUUGACGACUCGAGUGGUCUUACUUUGUACAAGCGUGUAACUCCGGAAUUAACCAAGUACGGAAUUCUGGAAUCAAAUAUCGUUUCAUGUUCAUUCGACGAAAAAAAUAACAUGAAAGGGUAUUAUAACGGUUUACAGGCUCACCUUAAAAAGGUAAAUGAAAAUAUGACGUAUCUAUCACGUCUUGAACCUAGUAGCGGGUUCAUCAGGAGUAAAGUUACUAGAGACAGAAAACUUAUUUGGAUUGGUGGAAGAAUCUGCAGUUUUUCUGAGUUCAUCUUAAAAGCGAAUGGCAGUAUGGGAGAAAGAAACAAAAAGCAACAUACAAACUUUAUAGACUGCAAAAGUCUCUAAGGAUCUAUCUGCGAUAAUUGAUGAAAGUGUGUUGAAGGAAACUGCCAAAGAUAAAUAAUUGAUGUCAGUAAACCGUAAUAAAAAAAAACAUGAUGGUCAAUUGUAAAUCCAUACAAUAUGGCCAGAAAUUUGGCAAAUCAAUGAUCAAAAAUUAGAAACUCAUUUAUUUCAUUCGUUUUACAUUUGGUUCUUGUUAUAACUCCUGGUUCAAAAUAUUUGCAAACUAAAACAUUGAACUACGCUGUUGCUUGGAAUUCAUUUCCAUCAGUGCUCAAACUAAUUAAUGAAAAAAGAAAUGAUGAACAUUUUGAAGUUGUAUACACGAAAACAAAAGAGUAUGCGACAAGAGUCUGCUGUUAAUUGUAAAUCGGAAGAUAAUAAUAUUGAUGUGGAAAUAAAAUUGGAUUUCACGGAAAGAACUUCAAAGAAAAAACGGAUGUCUGGGAAAAAUCAAAAGAUGAUUCUCCUAAAAUCUCAACAAAAAUAAUUACAAGCCAGUAUUUUUCAAUAUGUUAGACUGUAUUAGAACCAGCAUUGAAGAAAGUUUUUGUCCAAAUAGAGAAAUUUUAGAGGGCCUGACUUGGUUACAACCAAGAAAGUCCAAUGAAAUAAGCUUGAAGAUAUUCCAACUCCCCUCUUGUAUUUCAAACCUGCAAAGUUGAUUAUUAACAUAAAUAAUUUGCAAUCAGUUCAAAAGUUUCAUGAAAAUCGAAAAUAAUCAAGAUGAAGAAAUCCCAGGCGAAAUGUUAAACAAAGCAGAAGGAAAUUUAGAUUACUGUCAAAUUGAUUCAGAACCUAAAUCAGAAGAAGCAACUUUUCGUGGUCUCCGCAAUGACAGUAAAACAAUUGUCAAGUGUUCCUCAUGCGUAUAUUCAUUCACUUCUAAAAAUAAUCAAGAAUCGUCUUAGGUCUAAGUCAAGCCAAAACCUUAUUUCUAGCCUAGUUUUUAUGAACAUAGAAAGAGAUUUAUUUUCUGACUUGGACAAAGAUGACAUAAUUAAUGUCAUGGGCAGGAGUUGUGAAGAACUUACCAAAGACUGAAAGCAUAGUUCGUGAAAUCAUUAAUUACUCAACUAGCACUGUGCUAAGAAUUUUUUUUGUAUUUAUAUCGUUAACAACAGUAUUCAUUUUGACCUACUUUAUAUAAUGAUUUAUUUUA
Long non-coding RNA from Harmonia axyridis, 2049 nucleotides. RefSeq lists it as uncharacterized. The record is from RefSeq and is a predicted model, not a curated record. Lineage: Eukaryota; Metazoa; Arthropoda; Insecta; Coleoptera; Coccinellidae. The transcript is spliced from 2 exons.